AACGAACGCUGGCGGCAUGCCUAACACAUGCAAGUCGAACGAGACCUUCGGGUCUAGUGGCGCACGGGUGCGUAACGCGUGGGAACCUGCCCUUAGGUUCGGAAUAACUCCCCGAAAGGGGUGCUAAUACCGGAUAAUGUCUUCGGACCAAAGAUUCAUCGCCUUUGGAUGGGCCCGCGUUGGAUUAGCUAGUUGGUAGGGUAAAAGCCUACCAAGGCGACGAUCCAUAGCUGGUCUGAGAGGAUGAUCAGCCACACUGGGACUGAGACACGGCCCAGACUCCUACGGGAGGCAGCAGUGGGGAAUAUUGGACAAUGGGCGAAAGCCUGAUCCAGCAAUGCCGCGGGAGUGAUGAAGGCCUGAGGGUUGUAAAGCUCUUUUACCCGGGAUGAUAAUGACAGUACCGGGAGAAUAAGCACCGGCUAACUCCGUG
Molecule: ribosomal RNA, 433 nt
Filed under: uncultured bacterium
Lineage: Bacteria
Description: partial 16S ribosomal RNA
Rfam family: Bacterial small subunit ribosomal RNA
Source: RNAcentral